Molecule: ribosomal RNA, 230 nt
Filed under: uncultured bacterium
Lineage: Bacteria
Description: partial 16S ribosomal RNA
Rfam family: Bacterial small subunit ribosomal RNA
Source: RNAcentral
AAAGCGUGCGCAGGCGGUUAUACAAGACAGGCGUGAAAUCCCCGGGCUUAACCUGGGAAUGGCGUCUGUGACUGUAUGACUAGAGUGUGUCAGAGGGGGGUAGAAUUCCACGUGUAGCAGUGAAAUGCGUAGAUAUGUGGAGGAAUACCAAUGGCGAAGGCAGCCCCCUGGGAUAACACUGACGCUCAUGCACGAAAGCGUGGGGAGCAAACAGGAUUAGAUACCCUAGU